This 73-nucleotide transfer RNA is filed under the name Bos taurus (domestic cattle). It matches the Rfam family "tRNA". From Rfam's summary of the family: Transfer RNA (tRNA) molecules are approximately 80 nucleotides in length. Their secondary structure includes four short double-helical elements and three loops (D, anti-codon, and T loops). Further hydrogen bonds mediate the characteristic L-shaped molecular structure. tRNAs have two regions of fundamental functional importance: the anti-codon, which is responsible for specific mRNA codon recognition, and the 3' end, to which the tRNAs corresponding amino acid is attached (by aminoacyl-tRNA synthetases). tRNAs cope with the degeneracy of the genetic code in two manners: having more than one tRNA (with a specific anti-codon) for a particular amino acid; and 'wobble' base-pairing, i.e. permitting non-standard base-pairing at the 3rd anti-codon position. Lineage: Eukaryota; Metazoa; Chordata; Mammalia; Artiodactyla; Bovidae. RNAcentral also lists the same sequence under 1 other name. The record is from Rfam by way of RNAcentral.
UCCCUGGUGAUUCAGUGGUUAAGACUCUGUGCUUCCAAUGCAGGGAGCCUGGGUUCAAUCCUUGGUCAGGGAA